ACGGUUACAGAGCAAUGUAGUGUUUGGGAGAGCCCGUUUAACCUAAGCAAUAUAUAAGUGAGUUCAAGUCCUUCUUGAAGGGGGCCAUUUUCCCAUAGAGGGUGCUAGGCCCGUAGUAACCAUUUAUAUGUUUAGGUGGGUUUCUCCUUAGAGUCGGGUUGCUUGAGAGUGCAGCUCUAAGUGGGUGGUAAACUCCAUCUAAGGCUAAAUAUGACUACGAAACCGAUAGCGAACAAGUACCGUGAGGGAAAGUUGAAAAGAACUUUGCAGAGAGAGUUCAAGAGUACGUGAAACUGUUCAGGGGUAAACCUGUAAUACCCAAAUAGUUCGAAAGAGGUGAUUCAAUUGUUUAUCCGUUUAUAACCAUUUUUCAGUAUAUAGACAUUUAUAAAUCAUCUAUGAUUUUUAAUCGUAUUUGUUAUAUUAUAUAUGCUAUUCUGAUUAAUGUAUAGUUUAUAUUCGGUGGCAUGCACUUCAUCUCUAGUAGAGCGUCGUAACUCAUUAGAUAUUAAUAUUGUGUAUAUGUGUGGUGUUUAAGGUUCACAAUGGAGACCGUGGCGUAAUAAUAUUUUUUAUUAAAUAUUAUUUGCGACCCGGACUUGUGUUAUCCUGACACUCUAUCUGAUGGUAUAUAUAUAAAAAUGUAAAUCACUAUAAUAGUGUGAGUGUUAUUCAUUGCUAUAACAAAUAUUGAUA
RNAcentral lists this ribosomal RNA (696 nucleotides) under Brachinus americanus. RNAcentral's name for it is "partial 28S ribosomal RNA". The stretch from base 1 to 557 matches the Rfam family "Eukaryotic large subunit ribosomal RNA", at positions 129 to 664 of the family's 3401-position model. The record is from RNAcentral. Lineage: Eukaryota; Metazoa; Arthropoda; Insecta; Coleoptera; Carabidae.